Molecule: non-coding RNA, 105 nt
Organism: Polyplosphaeria fusca
Lineage: Eukaryota; Fungi; Ascomycota; Dothideomycetes; Pleosporales; Tetraplosphaeriaceae
Source: the annotation of a GenBank genome assembly
GGCCUGAUGGUCUAGUGGUAUGAUUGUCGCUUCGGGUAUCGCACGCCUGGAUGCUUUGCAUCUCUAUAAUGUGACAGGCCCCGGGUUCGAAUCCCGGUCAGGCCC